RNAcentral lists this ribosomal RNA (666 nucleotides) under uncultured bacterium. Its description in RNAcentral is "bacterial SSU rRNA". It matches the Rfam family "Bacterial small subunit ribosomal RNA", at positions 831 to 1510 of the family's 1533-position model. The record is from RNAcentral.
UAAAUACUGUCGGUGCCGAAGCUAACGCGAUAAGUCUGCCGCCUGGGGACUACGGCCGCAAGGCUAAAACUCAAAGGAAUUGACGGGGCCCCGCACAAGCAGCGGAGCGUGUGGUUUAAUUCGAGGCUACGCGAAGAACCUUACCUGGGUUUGACAUACACGUAGUAGGGAUCUGAAAGGUGACCGACCCUUCGGGGAGCGUGUACAGGUGCUGCAUGGCUGUCGUCAGCUCGUGUCGUGAGAUGUCCGGUUAAGUCCGGUAACGAGCGCAACCCUUGUCCUGUGUUACAAGUGUCACAGGAGACUGCCGGUAUAAAGCCGGGGGAAGGUGGGGAUGACGUCAAGUCAGCAUGGCCUUUAUAUCCAGGGCUACACACACGCUACAAUGGCUGGUACAAUAGGUCGCAAAACCGCGAGGUGGAGCCAAUCCAUAAAGCCAGCCUCAGUUCAGAUUGCAGGCUGCAACCCGCCUGCAUGAAGUCGGAGUUGCUAGUAACCGCAGGACAGCUAUACUGCGGUGAAUACGUUCUCGGGUCUUGUACACACCGCCCGUCACACCACGAGAGCUUGUUGCACCUGAAAUAGCCGGCCUAACCGUAAGGGAGGAGGCUCUUAAGGUGUGAUAAGUGAUUGGGGUGAAGUCGUAACAAGGUAACCAAGGGCGAA